RNAcentral lists this ribosomal RNA (490 nucleotides) under uncultured bacterium. RNAcentral describes it as "partial 16S ribosomal RNA". It matches the Rfam family "Bacterial small subunit ribosomal RNA", at positions 30 to 507 of the family's 1533-position model. The record is from RNAcentral.
AUUGAACGCUGGCGGCAGGCCUAACACAUGCAAGUCGAACGGUAACAGGAAACAGCUUGCUGUUUCGCUGACGAGUGGCGGGCGGGUGAGUAAUGUCUGCGAAACUGCCUGAUGGAGGGGGAUAACUAAUGGAAACGGUAGCUAAUACCGCAUAACGUCGCAAGACCAAAGGGGGGGACCUUCGGGCCUCUUGCCAUCGGAUGAGCCCAGAUGGGAUUAGUUAGUAGGGGGGGUAACGGCUCACCUAGGCGACGAUCCCUAGCUGGUCUGAGAGGAUGACCAGCCACACGGGAACUGAGACACGGUCCAGACUCCUACGGGAGGCAGCAGUCGGGAAUAUUGCGCAAUGGGCGCAAGCCUGAUGCAGCCAUGCCGCGUGUAUGAAGAAGGCCUUCGGGUUGUAAAGUACUUUCAGCGGGGAGGAAGGGAGUAAAGUUAAUACCUUGACUCAUUGACGUUACCCGCAGAAGAAGCACCGGCUAACUCCGUG